GAUGAACGCUGGCGGCGUGCUUAACACAUGCCAGUCGAACGGAAAGGCCCAAGCUUGCUUGGGUACUCGAGUGGCGAACGGGUGAGUAACACGUGGGUGAUCUGCCCUGCACUUCGGGAUAAGCCUGGGAAAAUGGGUAUAAUACCGGAUAGGACCUCUCCUUGGAUGUUGUGGUGGAAAGUUUUUUCGGUGUGGGAUGAGCUCGCGGCCUAUCAGCUUGUUGGUGGGGUAAUGGCAUACCAAGGCGUCGACGGGUAGCCGGCCUGAGAGGGUGUACGGCCACAUUGGGACUGAGAUACGGCCCAGACUCCUACGGGAGGCAGCAGUGGGGAAUAUUGCACAAUGGGCGCAAGCCUGAUGCAGCGACGCCGCGGGGGGGAGGACGGCCUUCGGGUUGGAAACUCCUUUCGCUAGGGACGAAGCGUUUUGUGACGGUACCUGGAGAAGAAGCACCGGCUAACUACGUG
RNAcentral lists this ribosomal RNA (467 nucleotides) under uncultured bacterium. RNAcentral describes it as "partial 16S ribosomal RNA". It matches the Rfam family "Bacterial small subunit ribosomal RNA", at positions 28 to 507 of the family's 1533-position model. The record is from RNAcentral.